This 809-nucleotide long non-coding RNA is filed under the name Numida meleagris (helmeted guineafowl). RNAcentral's name for it is "lncRNA (ENSNMEG00000013637.1)". The record is from RNAcentral. Lineage: Eukaryota; Metazoa; Chordata; Aves; Galliformes; Numididae.
GGCUCAGCGGGUGGCGGGGGGGAUCCGAGGUAUGCCAGGAACUGCAAACAGGCAAUGGAAAAGGAGCCCAGAAAACAAUUUGUUUAUUAUAAGCAGGUCAGUCCUCCAGGGAAUUCGUGGAAUCAUGCAGUGGGAGAGGACAAUCACGGCACUGAAAUGGGUAUGGAGGAUCUGACAUUAAGAAACUUGGCAAUGACCAAUAGAAAGAAGAAAGUACAGCUGUUUAUGGGAUUUUCAGUCUUCUCAUUGAUAUAUCUCAUGAAAGAUUGCCUAAGAACUUGUCAUUUUUUUCACCCAAAUAAAAUAGUAUCUAUUGCUAUAAAAAAAAGUCAAUGACACUUUGGGAAAGCAUUAAGCUAUAUUUCAGAAAUGACUGUCCAAAUGUUGAUUUUUUUUGAAUGAUAUACUGUAGUUAUUAUUAGGACAAAAUCUGUCAUGUAGAAAAGAUUUUUCAGCCCUUAAGUGUACUCAUGAAUAAGCAAAAACUACUUCAACUGUGGAAAGCCUCAGCAAGUUGUUGUAAACAUGUGCCCUUGCAUGUAGAUAUUCAUGUAUGUACAGGUAUAGACUGAUAAAGAUCGACUGAGGUAAAUGUUUCAAGGAAAAACAAUUCAAGACUUUAGGAAACUUAUAUAAAUCUCAGUUGGAAAUCCUUUAUUUAUGAGAUUUCUUGAAUCCAGAUUGUUAAAACAUGUAAUUAGCUCAUCUUUGACACACAUCAGGCAAAUUUGUACCCAGUUUCCUUGGUAAAUAUCACUUAAUUGGGACUUCAGUAUGAUGACAAUAAUAAAAAAAAAUCACGCCUUGCA